RNAcentral lists this ribosomal RNA (451 nucleotides) under uncultured bacterium. RNAcentral's name for it is "partial 16S ribosomal RNA". It matches the Rfam family "Bacterial small subunit ribosomal RNA", at positions 354 to 796 of the family's 1533-position model. The record is from RNAcentral.
GUGGGGAAUAUUGGACAAUGGGGGGAACCCUGAUCCAGCCAUGCCGCGUGUGUGAAGAAGGCCUUUUGGUUGUAAAGCACUUUAAGCGAGGAGGAGGCUACCGAGAUUAAUACUCUUGGAUAGUGGACGUUACUCGCAGAAUAAGCACCGGCUAACUCUGUGCCAGCAGCCGCGGUAAUACAGAGGGUGCAAGCGUUAAUCGGAUUUACUGGGCGUAAAGUGCGCGUAGGUGGCCAAUUAAGUCAAAUGUGAAAUCCCCGAGCUUAACUUGGGAAUUGCAUUCGAUACUGGUUGGCUAGAGUAUGGGAGAGGAUGGUAGAAUUCCAGGUGUAGCGGUGAAAUGCGUAGAGAUCUGGAGGAAUACCGAUGGCGAAGGCGGCGCUCUGGGCCGGUACUGACACUGAGGAGCGAAAGCGUGGGUAGCAAACAGGAUUAGAUACCCCAGUAGUCC